AGAGGUGGUGGCAGGUGUGUGGAUGACAACACCUACUUACACUGAAAACCAACCAACCACUCGGCCACACAUGUAAAAACUACUCAGCCUCUAUGCAAUCUAUCCCCUUUGACAAGCCCGUACUGGCCUCUUGGUGUCUGUCCACUUCUACCUGGUAAGUUGGCCCUUCAGGAACUACACCUGGCCAAAUUACAGGCUGAAAGAUUAUGAUAGAAAUGUCAUUAAUUCAAGCUAUGCAUUCCCACUGACUCAGCUGUGCCCUUCACAGCUGUAACUGAUAAAGGUCUGGACGUGCAGUUCACAGCAGAGGAGAGAGACUGUGGCUGCUCUGGACACAUCUGGACGACAGGCACCCAGCCCUCAAGAUGCUGUCUGCCAGCUAGGUGGAAACACCUCAUGUGAAUGGGCCCAUUUGCUUCCUCUCCACUCCAAAAGGGGAUGAGAAGAGGAAUGUUGAAAUCUCAAUAUACCACAGGCAGCUAACAGCUCAGGAGAGGAUCGUGCUCCAAAUGUUCAUCGAGCCAAUUAUUGGGACUUCUCUGCCAGGUUCCCAGGGAAGAAUGUUGUAAAUGAUGGCUGGGUGCCAUGGCUAAUCCAAAAUGAACAGAAUCGCUAUCUCCUCAGAGCCUGGGUCCCUAGGGCCUGACCGACAUCCAAGGUGCCUGGGACACAGCCAGUGAGGGGCAUCUGGAGCCCUGUGCGGUGAAGUAGCAGGCAGUCAAGGAUACUGAAAGGUGUGCAGGCUGUCCCAGGCCCCACGCCCAGAAGGCCAUUCAGAGACCAAAGAACAUGACCAGCUCCAAAAUGAAGAUAAAAACUACGGUUCAGCUAUGAAUGUUUUCCGUCUAAACACUCAACACCAUACUACUACUUUGUGCUGUUUACAAUUUCCUAGCCUGCUAUUAAAUAAAAGGUUCCAUAAAAGGGGGCAACAGCCCAGAAAACAAACCAUAUUGUUGAAGUUGAACCUCUGCCCAUCCCAGAAAACCAGCUUGCUGGAGAAACCUGUGCCAUGUCCCACUGCAGCCUGGGGGUGCCACGGUGUGUGUCUGGUGUCUAUGCAUACUGUAUUCCUAGCACCUCAGGGCACUGGGCAUCUAACAAGAGCCCAGGGACUAGAGACAGGUUCCCGCAUCUCUCUCACGGAUGCACUUGCUGUUGCUAGCUCAUGUGGCCUCCUGACCCUCGAUUUCUUCUAUCAAUACACUAGGCUUUCUCUGCCAGGAAUACCUUGUUCUCCAAGGCACUCCAUCUGGCUAAAAUCUUUCCUUCAAAAGGCUUUCCGUGUGUCCUCCAUUUUUGCUAAUUUCAAGCCUGCCUUGGGUGGCUUUCCCAACUGUUGCUGUGGCCAGAAUUUGCCUUAUCACAAUCACAGGGUGUCUACUUAAUGCUGAGAAACUAGAUGCUUUCCCCCUGCAUCUGGAACAAGACAAGCAUAUUCUUACCACUCUUUUUCAAUCAUACUUCAAGUCCGAACUAAUGUAAUAAGACAAGAAAAGGAAAUGAGAGAGGCACAGAUUGGGAAGGAAGAAAUAAAACUGCCUUUGUGGGGGCUGCGUGCGGUGGCUCACGCCUGUAAUCGCAGCACUUUGGGAGGCCGAGGCAGGUGACCUGAGGUCAGGAGUUCAAGACCAGCCUGGCCAACAUAGUGAAACUCUGUCUCUACUAAAAAUACAAAAAUUAGCCAGGCAUAGUGGCACACGCCUGUAAUCCCAGCUAUUCGGAAGACUGAGGCAGGAGAAUUGCUUGAACCCGGCAAGUGGAGGUUGCAGUGAGCUGAGAUUGUGCCACUGCACUCCAGCCUGGGCAACAAAGGCGAAACUCAGUCUCCAAAAAAACCUGUCUUUGUUCACAGAUAUGAUUGUUUAGGUAAAGAAUUCUGGCCAGGCACAUCACAAGGCCAGGAGAUCAAGACCAUCCUGGCCAACAUGGUGAUAUCCCGUCUCUACUAAAAAUACAAAAAUUAGCUGGGGGUGGUGGCACACGCCUGUAGUCCCAGCUACUCAGGAGGCUGAGGCAGGAGAAUCGCUUGAACCCGGGAGAGAGAGGUUGCAGUGAGCCAAGAUCGUGCCACUGCACUCCAGCCUGGCAACAGAGCGAGACUCCAUCUC
Long non-coding RNA from Pan troglodytes (chimpanzee), 2111 nucleotides. RefSeq lists it as uncharacterized. The record is from RefSeq and is a predicted model, not a curated record. The transcript has 3 exons. NCBI's taxonomy places the organism in Eukaryota, Metazoa, Chordata, Mammalia, Primates, Hominidae.